Acinonyx jubatus (cheetah) is the source of this 847-nucleotide long non-coding RNA. RefSeq lists it as uncharacterized. The transcript is spliced from 3 exons. Lineage: Eukaryota; Metazoa; Chordata; Mammalia; Carnivora; Felidae. The record is from RefSeq and is a predicted model, not a curated record.
CCCCCGUGUCAGGAUGCAGUAGACACACAUGUAGCAGGUACCUCAGAAAACACAGGACUGAAAAGGUGGAAUUCAGAGACAUCAUGGCAUGCUUGCACAUUGUAGCCAGGCCCCAGCAUAACCAAAGAGGAGCGGCAGAGAGAGAGCAUGAACAGGGGAGGAGCAGAGAAAGAGGGAGACCCAGAAUCCCAAGCAGGCUCCAGGCUCUGAGCUGUCAGCACAGAGCCCGACGUGGGGCUUGAACUCGUCAACGGGGAUUGCCUGUGUUUCCUGUGUCCCUUCCCCCGAUUUGUCUGGAAGUUACAACUCUGCUUCGGUGGCUAUCGCUGACAUGUGCUCUUAACGAGGUGUAAGUUAGAGCGAAUCAAGGUCCCUGUUCUCCCAGAACAGACAAGGACCAGCUGCUGCACCCCACUCUGCACUCCUGCCAAGGCCGGGGUCUUUCCUACAAGCAUCCUUGGGGCUGCUUCUGCCAAAAGGGUUCAGUGAGAGCUUCCAGGAUGAGGAGGGGUCACUCCCAAGUGAAAUGCAGGCCCGCAGCUAUGAGCUCCUGGGUGGGGAGCUUCCCUGACUCAGGGUUCCCAGUACCUGGGAGACACUGUUCUGGGGCUUUGUUGUUUGCCCCAUCCACUCUUACACUGAGGCUGCACCCUUUGUCCAGACCCCACCUGUCCCACGUGGAUGUGAAAGCCCACCCUGGGCAUCAGGUCCCUCCCACCCCCACCUGUCCUUGCCUUAGGGCAGUCGCCCAUCAUGCUUUCCUGAGCUUGCUUGGGCUCACCUGUGCAUUUCAAAGGGGCUCACUAUUUCCAUCCAACAUUUUACAGGAGGCUGUUCGGUCCGCCAA